UCAUCUGAGAUUGCCUUAGUAAUGGCGAAUGAACCGGCAAAAGCUCAUUGCUGAAGCGUGUUAAAUUCACUUUUGACAUGCAUUGUAGCAUUUAGGGUAACUAUUGUAUGGUGCCUGUUCGUGUGAGUUCCUUUGAUCAGGGCUUUAACCAUAGAAGGUGCUAGUCCUAUAAUCACGAAUAGUUGUGCUGUACAUUGUAUACCUUUCGAGUAGCGUAGUUUGAGAUUGCUACGCCAACGUGGGACGUAAACUUGUUCCAAAGCUAAAUAUUAUAACGAGACCGAUAGCGAACAAGUACCGUGAGGGAAAGUUGAAAAGCACUCUGAAGAGAGAGUUAAAUAGUACGUAAAACCGUACAGAAGAAAACGAAUGGCCGCAUUCAUCAGAUUACUUUGAAUUCAAUUCGAUCUCUAUAUGAUGGUGAUACAUGUUGAUUUCGAACUUCAACAGUCGAUUGAUAUGUUAUUGCCUGGAGUCGGAUGCAUUUUCAAAGUAUUAACUGAACCUGGAUCUAUAACAUUGAAAGCUAGUCGAAUCAGUCUAUUUUGGUGGCGAGUUUACUCGUGUUAAAAAUAUGACUUGCAUAAAUAACAAAUUCGACUUGGCGUUAUAGGUAAACAGACAAGUUCUUUGAUUUCAGUACUUUCGAGUACGGCAUACUAUGUGCAUUGUUGGUGUCACAUGAGUAACUAAUAUUUAACCGAUAUUAGUUUUAUUCAUUGUCGGUGCCUAAUGUUGUGUGGUUGUCAAUGAAAUCGGCAAGUCUACAGGAGUUUUGAAUGCCGAGUUAUUCGACCCGUCUUGAAACACGGUCUAAGGAGUUCACUGCAUGUGCAAGAGUUCGGCUGUAUGAAAAGCCUUGCUCGUAAUGAAAGUAAAGAACAUUCUUGCAAUGUUUUAAGUGUGAUUUCUGUCAUCUGGUGCAAAUCAUGACAAUGAACGCAACACUGACAGGUUCUAUUGCCGCUGGCAAAGAGCUUAGUAAGAGUAUAUGCAAUGAGACCCGAAAGAUGGUGAACUUAAUGUGUGUAGAAUGAAGCCAGGGGAAACCCUGGUGGAAGUUCGUAGCGGUUCUGACGUGCAAAUCUAUCGUCAAAC
Molecule: ribosomal RNA, 1098 nt
Filed under: Rotaria rotatoria
Lineage: Eukaryota; Metazoa; Rotifera; Eurotatoria; Philodinida; Philodinidae
Description: eukaryotic LSU rRNA
Rfam family: Eukaryotic large subunit ribosomal RNA
Source: RNAcentral